This 490-nucleotide ribosomal RNA is filed under the name uncultured bacterium. Its description in RNAcentral is "partial 16S ribosomal RNA". It matches the Rfam family "Bacterial small subunit ribosomal RNA", at positions 30 to 507 of the family's 1533-position model. The record is from RNAcentral.
AUUGAACGCUGGCGGCAGGCCUAACACAUGCAAGUCGAACGGAAACAGGAAGAAGCUUGCUUCUUUGCUGACGAGUGGCGGACGGGUGAGAAAUGUCUGGGAAACUGCCUGAUGGAGGGGGAUAACUACUGGAAACGGUAGCUAAUACCGCAUAACGUCGCAAGACCAAAAAGGGGGAGCUUCGGGCCUCUUGCCAUCGGAUGUGCCCAGAUGGGAUUAGCUAGUAGGUGGGGUAACGGCUCACCUAGGCGACGAUCCCUAGCCGGUCUGAGAGGAUGACCAGCCACACUGGAACUGAGACACGGUCCAGACUCCUACGGGAGGCAGCAGUAGGGAAUCUUGCGCAAUGGGCGAAAGCCUGAUGCAGCAACGCCGCGUGUAUGAAGAAGGCCUUCGGGUUGUAAAAUUCUUUUAUCGGGGAAGAACAAAGUAAAGUGUAAACCUUCGCUCAUUGACGGUACCCGCACAAAAAGCCCCGGCUAACUACGUG